CCGACUUGCAGGCGGUGGUGGUCCGGCCUCCGUGGGCGGGGCCGUGGAAGGAGCGGAGGCGUUGCCCCGCAGAGGGCCCGCUCGGGCUCAGCCUUCAAGGGCCGCCAGUGCUGACAACCGUUGAGCGUGCUAGGAGGCCGUUGCUUUCCCGAGGGGCUCUCUUCCAGGCUCGGUCCGGUGCCGGCAUGGCCCGAGGAAAUCAGCGAGAACUUGCCCGCCAGAAAAAUAUGAAGAAAUCCCAGGAAAUUAGUAAGGGGAAAAGAAAAGAGGAUAGCUUGACCACGUCUCAGAGAAAGCAGAGGGACUCUGAGAUAAUGCAACAAAAGCAGAAAGCAGCUAAUGAGAAGAAGUCUAUGCAGACAAGAGAAAAAUGAUGACUAUUUGGAAAAACCUGGGUGCUACUGCCAACUAGGUGUAUCAUAAGCUCUAAGGUCAAAAUUUUGUGGAGCAAACAGUCAUAUGUUAUAUCCUUAUAAGACUAUUUUAAACUUUACCUUUCAGCCUGACUUAGUGUAAUGUUUCAGAACCAUUCUUCAAAGAAUAAAACACUAACCAUUCAUGUGA
This is an RNA transcript of Ailuropoda melanoleuca (giant panda), 564 nucleotides long. RefSeq lists it as uncharacterized. The transcript has 3 exons. The record is from RefSeq and is a predicted model, not a curated record. Lineage: Eukaryota; Metazoa; Chordata; Mammalia; Carnivora; Ursidae.